This 83-nucleotide transfer RNA is filed under the name Candidatus Babela massiliensis. RNAcentral describes it as "delta proteobacterium BABL1 tRNA". It matches the Rfam family "tRNA". From Rfam's summary of the family: Transfer RNA (tRNA) molecules are approximately 80 nucleotides in length. Their secondary structure includes four short double-helical elements and three loops (D, anti-codon, and T loops). Further hydrogen bonds mediate the characteristic L-shaped molecular structure. tRNAs have two regions of fundamental functional importance: the anti-codon, which is responsible for specific mRNA codon recognition, and the 3' end, to which the tRNAs corresponding amino acid is attached (by aminoacyl-tRNA synthetases). tRNAs cope with the degeneracy of the genetic code in two manners: having more than one tRNA (with a specific anti-codon) for a particular amino acid; and 'wobble' base-pairing, i.e. permitting non-standard base-pairing at the 3rd anti-codon position. The record is from Rfam by way of RNAcentral. Lineage: Bacteria; Candidatus Babeliae; Candidatus Babeliales; Candidatus Babeliaceae.
GCCGAGGUGGCGAAAUGGCAGACGCACGGGACUCAAAAUCCCGCGAUGGCAACAUCAUGUCGGUUCAAGUCCGACCCUCGGCA